Molecule: ribosomal RNA, 253 nt
Filed under: uncultured bacterium
Lineage: Bacteria
Description: partial 16S ribosomal RNA
Rfam family: Bacterial small subunit ribosomal RNA
Source: RNAcentral
UACAGAGGGUGCAAGCGUUGUUCGGAAUCACUGGGCGUAAAGCGCGUGUAGGCGGUCUGUUAAGUCAGGUGUGAAAGCCCCCGGCUCAACCGGGGAAGUGCGCUUGAAACUGGCAGGCUUGAGUGUCGAAGAGGGAAGGGGAAUUCCCGGUGUAGAGGUGAAAUUCGUAGAUAUCGGGAGGAACACCGGUGGCGAAGGCGCCUUCCUGGUCGACAACUGACGCUGAGACGCGAAAGCGUGGGUAGCAAACAGG